This 656-nucleotide long non-coding RNA is filed under the name Zonotrichia albicollis (white-throated sparrow). RNAcentral's name for it is "lncRNA (ENSZALG00000004918.1)". Lineage: Eukaryota; Metazoa; Chordata; Aves; Passeriformes; Passerellidae. The record is from RNAcentral.
UGGUCACUCAGUGAUGGUCACAGUGAUGGUCACUCAGUGGUCACUGUGAUGGUCACUCAGUGAUGGUCACUCAUUGGUCACUCAGGGUCACUCAGGGUCACUCAGUGGUCACUCAGCGGUCACUCAGCGGUCACUCAGGGGUCACUCAGUGAUGGUCACUGUGAUGAUUCCCAUGAUGGUCACUCAGCGGUCACUCAGUGGUCACUCAGUGGUCACUCAGCGGUCACUCAGCGGUCACUCUGUGUCCCUCAGUGACGUACCCCGAGGUCCUGCAGUGUGUCAAUGUCACGCUGUUCUGUGUGAUGGUCACUGUGAUGGUUCCCAUGGUGAUCCCCAUGAUGGUCACUAUGAUGGUCAGUGUGAUGGUCACUCAUUGGUCACUCAGUGGUCACUCAUUGGUCACUCUGUGUCCCUCAGUGACCUACCCGGAAGUUCUCCAGUGUGUCAAUGUCACGCUGUUCUCAGUGAUGGUCACUGUGAUGGUCACUCAGUGGUCAGUGUGAUGGUCACUCAGUGGUCACUCAGUGGUCACUCUGUCCGCAGUGACGUACCCCGAGGUCCUGCAGUGUGUCAAUGUCACGCUGUUCUCUCCGGCCGAGUGUCGCCGUUUCUACCCCGGCUCCAUCACCGACAACAUGAUCUGUGCCGGACACCUG